GACGAACGCUGGCGGCGUGCCUAAUACAUGCAAGUCGAGCGGACUGAAUGGGAGCUUGCUCUUGUUCGGUCAGCGGCGGACGGGUGAGUAACACGUGGGCAACCUGCCCGCAAGACCGGGAUAACUCCGGGAAACCGGAGCUAAUACCGGAUAACACCGAAGACCGCAUGGUCUUUGGUCGAAAGGCGGCGCAAGCUGCCACUUGCGGAUGGGCCCGCGGCGCAUUAGCUAGUUGGUGAGGUAACGGCUCACCAAGGCGACGAUGCGUAGCCGGCCUGAGAGGGUGACCGGCCACACUGGGACUGAGACACGGCCCAGACUCCUACGGGAGGCAGCAGUAGGGAAUCUUCCGCAAUGGGCGAAAGCCUGACGGAGCGACGCCGCGUGAGCGAAGAAGGCCUUCGGGUCGUAAAGCUCUGUUGUGAGGGACGAAGGAGCGCCGUUUGAAGAAGGCGGCGCGGUGACGGUACCUCACGAGGAAGCCCCGGCUAACUACGUG
This 499-nucleotide ribosomal RNA is filed under the name uncultured bacterium. RNAcentral's name for it is "partial 16S ribosomal RNA". It matches the Rfam family "Bacterial small subunit ribosomal RNA", at positions 28 to 507 of the family's 1533-position model. The record is from RNAcentral.